AUGCCAAAGAGAAGCCAUGAAGUGCAUCUUUUAAAUUAAAAGGUGAAAGUUCUCAACUGAAUUAAGGAAAGAAAAAAAUCAUAUGCUGAGGUUGCUAAGAUCUAUGGCAAGAAUGAAUCUUCUAUCUGUGAAACUGUGAAGAAGGAAAAUGAAAUUUAUGCUAGUUCUGCUGCAUAUAUAGGGUUCAGUAUUAUCUGCAGUUUCAGCCUACCUAUUCUCCCAGAGGGCAUGCAUUCUAUGGAGACAGAGCUGAAUGUGUGCCAUCAGAAGACCAAAAUCAAGCGACAUUUUAAAAAGAAAACAGACUCUUCUGGGAAAAAUGGUGACUCCACAAAGUAAGAAGCCACCAAGACUUGUAGGACAUUCCUUCAUCUUCUCCUGGAUGGGGCAACCCAGCCAUGGAUAUAUGCCUCCAAUCAGCAUAAAUGCCCAUUGCUUGAUAAAGUCAACACACGUGUAAGAUGACAUAUUGCAGGUAUCUGUCACAUCAAGCAAGGUUUGAAGAAGAAACAACUGGAGAAUUUUACUUAUGUGGAUGAAAAAGCAAACAGAAGUUAGUCCAGCAUGGAAGUCACAUGCUUUGGGAUUGUAGCAUUGUGUUCUCCUGUAGGAGGUGAUCCAUUGUCAUUUAUCGGAAUCCAUCUUCACUCAAAAGGAGCAGGUUGUAUUUUGAGUCCCUUCUCUUAAUGUCUUUUAGCAACAACAAGGGAGGAACACUUAUUCCCUACUCUUGAAGUUCCAGUCAUGAGAAUAGAGUCUCCCGAAGUACUGCUGGAUUCUUGUCCAACCGCUUUCCCUGCCUACAGAGGUGGGGACAGUGACUUGGCUGCUAAGUGGAAGCAGUAGGUCCACAUUUCUGAAGGAGGGAAGCUAAUCUAUCAAAGGACCUUGGGGGCCGGGUGCAGUGGCUCACACCUGUAACCCUAGCACUUUGGGAGGCCAAAGUGGGUGGAUCGCUUGAGCUCAGGAAUUUGAGACCAGCUUGCACAACAUAGCGAAAACCCAUAUCUAACAAAAAUACAAAAAUUAGCCAGGCAUAGUGGCAUGUGUCUGUGAUCCCACCUACUCAGGAGGCUGAGAUGGCAGGAUCGCUUGAGCCUGGGAGGCGGAGGUUGCAGUGAGCUGGGACAGUGCCUCUGCACUCCAGCCUGGGUGACAGAGUAAGACUCCAUCUCAAAAAAAAAAAAAAAAAACGAAAACAAAAAUAAAAAAGAACCUGGGGAGGGAGGAGGAAUUCGAUUUGGAAUGAAUUAAUUCAGUUCUUCCUACCUUCCCUCUCCACCUAGCAUAGUGGAAAACAGUAGCCUGGGUAGGUGUGACUCCUGUGCAAACCCAAACUUUCCCUCAAGUGGGCUCUCCCAUAGUCUGGACUGGACAGAAGGGAGUUUGCAAGCUCACUUUGGCUCUUAGAAUGAGCUACGUCUUCUGACCCAGCCUUUUUAGAAAUAAGAAUGGCAUUUGAUUCAUCUGCUUCAUCUUCAUCCUUAUCAUCUUCCUCUGCUGACUGUGUUGUUUUAUUUUUCAAUUGAUUUCAAAAGUGGGCCAAAAAAAGUGCUAUUAAUUGUGUCUCUUCAAAACCCUAAUACCCACCAGAAUAAGAAUGGUUCUCUCCAUGAGGCUGUAAGCCACAGACAGAAACUGGGUCAUCUCUUUCAGUGCAAAUGUUCAAGAAUUGGUUGGUUAGACGGAAUAAUGUCAGGUCAGACCUGUGACUUGAGUCCCUUCAAAGUCUUCCCAAGAUCCUAAGUGACUUGGCCCUGCAAGCUUGAGCCUCAUCUCUCACCAAUGUAUUCCUUCUCACCGUGCUCCAGCUGUGCUGGCUCUUCUUUCAAUGUUUUGGAUGAACCAUCCUUUCCUCUGACUCAAGGCCUUUGCAAAUGCUGUUCUCUAUGCUUAGAAAUCUUAUCCCUCACUGCCCAUCCCUUUACCUUUUUAAUUCUUUUAUAUUUCUGUGCAAAAUCACUUUCUUAGGGAUGUCUUCCCUGUAUCCCAGACAAGGUAUGUUC
Molecule: long non-coding RNA, 2006 nt
Filed under: Homo sapiens (human)
Lineage: Eukaryota; Metazoa; Chordata; Mammalia; Primates; Hominidae
Description: HSALNT0326104
Source: RNAcentral